RNAcentral lists this microRNA (22 nucleotides) under Gallus gallus (chicken). RNAcentral describes it as "gga-miR-1720-5p". The record is from miRBase by way of RNAcentral. Lineage: Eukaryota; Metazoa; Chordata; Aves; Galliformes; Phasianidae.
UGAUCACCUCGGACGUUGCUUU